RNAcentral lists this small nuclear RNA (23 nucleotides) under Arabidopsis thaliana (thale cress). RNAcentral's name for it is "snRNA_15264". The record is from RNAcentral. Lineage: Eukaryota; Viridiplantae; Streptophyta; Magnoliopsida; Brassicales; Brassicaceae.
CGUGAACUUCUUAGAUGGCCAUU